RNAcentral lists this ribosomal RNA (484 nucleotides) under uncultured bacterium. RNAcentral's name for it is "partial 16S ribosomal RNA". It matches the Rfam family "Bacterial small subunit ribosomal RNA", at positions 28 to 523 of the family's 1533-position model. The record is from RNAcentral.
GAUGAACGCUGGCGGCGCGCUUAACACAUGCAAGUCGAACGGUGAAGCAGGAGCUUGCUCUUGUGGAUCAGUGGCGAACGGGUGAGUAACACGUGAGCAACCUGCCCCUGACUCUGGGAUAAGCGCUGGAAACGGCGUCUAAUACUGGAUAUGUGAUGUGACCGCAUGGUCUGCAUCUGGAAAGAAUUUCGGUUGGGGAUGGGCUCGCGGCCUAUCAGCUUGUUGGUGAGGUAAUGGCGCACCAAGGCGUCGACGGGUAGCCGGCCUGAGAGGGUGACCGGCCACACUGGGACCGAGACACGGCCCAGACUCCUACGGGAGGCAGCAGUGGGGAAUAUUGCACAAUGGGCGGAAGCCUGAUGCAGCAACGCCGCGUGAGGGAUGACGGCCUUCGAGUUGUAAACCUCUUUUAGCAGGGAAGAAGCGAAAGUGACGGUACCUGCAGAAAAAGCACCGGCUAACUACGUGCCAGCCGCCGCGGUAA